Molecule: long non-coding RNA, 906 nt
Filed under: Volvox carteri
Lineage: Eukaryota; Viridiplantae; Chlorophyta; Chlorophyceae; Chlamydomonadales; Volvocaceae
Description: long non-coding RNA (VCAR_LNC004192)
Source: RNAcentral
UUGGUUCAUCGUCCCCUAAAGGGUUGUCCCCCUUUAGUUCAUCCCCUUUAGGGGAACUAAAGGGGUGUUCCCCUUCUUCCCCUAAAGGGGACGGAGUCCCCUUUAGGGGAAGAAGGGGUUCCCCUUCGGGGAUGAACCAAAGUCUUCCCCUACGUCUUCCCCAAAAGGGGAAGACUUUGGGGUUCUUCCCCUUUAGGGGAAGAAGAAGAGCACUAAAGAAGAUGAACAAAGGUUGUUCUUCUUCCCCUUUAGUUCCCCUAAAGGGGAUGAACGAAAGUUCCCCUUUAGGGGAAGAACCCCAAAGUCUUCCCCUUCGUUUUCUUCCCCUUUGGGGAACCUUCGUCUCCCCGAAGGGGAACACCCCUUCGUUUUCUUCCCCGAAGGGGAACCCAAAGUCUCCGUCCCCUUUAGGGGAAGAAGGGGAACACCCCCUUUGGUUCCCCUAAAGGGGACGAACACUAAAGGGGACAGACAACCCCUUUGGAACCCCAAAGGUUGUUCCCCUAAAGGGGAUGGGAACCAAAGGGUUGUCUUCCCCUAAAGGGGAACAAACUUUGGAAACCCUUUAGGGGAUGAACUAAAGGUAAUGACAACCCUUUGGGGGGGGGGAACCUUUGGUUCUUUGGGUUCCCCCUUCGGGGUUGUCUUCAUCCCCUUUAGUGCUCUUCUUCUUCCCCUUUAGGGGAAGAACCCCAAAGUCUUCGUCCCCUUUAGGGGAACCAAAGGGGAACACUAAAGUGUUCUUCUUCCCCUUUAGGGGAACUAAAGGGGAACCCCCUUUAGUUCCCCUAAAGAAGAUGAACCAAAGGGGUUCCCCUUCGGGGAUGACGUAGGGGUGUUUCCCUUCUUCCCCUAAAGGGGACGGAGACUUUGGGUUCCCCUUCGGGGAAGAAAACGAAGGGGAAC